GGACCCCUGUGACGUCCAGCUCUGGGCUCUGAUCUGUGACGACACGGUGCUCCCCCGGGACUUUAGCCCCCGGGGGUCUGAAGGGUCC
Molecule: small nucleolar RNA, 88 nt
Organism: Eubalaena glacialis (North Atlantic right whale)
Lineage: Eukaryota; Metazoa; Chordata; Mammalia; Artiodactyla; Balaenidae
Source: RefSeq, a predicted model, not a curated record